GGGGGCGAUUUAGGUUCGACGGGGAUAGGGUUGGGAGAGGAAGCGAGCCGCGGACCAUGGCCGCGUCAACAACAUGGAAAGGCAAUAACUGCCAACAACGAUUACGCACUGGCUGCGUAACUUAACGUAGCCCAUCCGCCCGGCCUAAGCCUGCGGGGCCGGAUACGGGUGUCAUAUUAGCAGGCUACCGGCAGAUGGAAGCCUUCACAUCCGCUGGGAAACCAAGAAGGCUAGUCUCUAUAGUAUCCAGCUUCUGGGAGACAAUAGAGGCGAAAUAUAAAACAGAAGCUACGCUCGUAGAAGCCUCUUCUGGCAUAUCUUCGGACGGGGGGUGCAAUUCCCCCCCGCCUCCACCA
RNAcentral lists this transfer-messenger RNA (356 nucleotides) under bacterium. RNAcentral's name for it is "JAAYWY01 sp012516165 Standard tmRNA". It matches the Rfam family "transfer-messenger RNA". Rfam says of the family: Bacterial tmRNA, also known as 10Sa RNA or SsrA, is named for its dual tRNA and mRNA-like properties. RNAcentral also lists the same sequence under 1 other name. The record is from RNAcentral.